Mauremys reevesii (Reeves's turtle) is the source of this 683-nucleotide long non-coding RNA. RefSeq lists it as uncharacterized. The transcript has 6 exons. NCBI's taxonomy places the organism in Eukaryota, Metazoa, Chordata, Testudines, Geoemydidae. The record is from RefSeq and is a predicted model, not a curated record.
GGGGAGCUCCAGCCUGGAAAGCCCCAGGCUGCCGCCUAGCAUUGGGCUAACAGAAGUUUGCUAAGUGGCUUUACUGAGGACUUUGCAAUAAGGAAGCAUAUUGUCAUGCUUAAUGUUAUAUCAAGACGUGCCACUCGAUGGAGUACAUUUUGAAGAAAAUAUUGAAUAUAAAUACCGGUUUGGCUGAAAAGGGACGUUGCUCAGCAGCUUGUGACUGCAUGGCGAAGAUUGAUAUUGAACGGGGACAGCUUACAGAACGCCUUAUAGGACCUGUGGAUGAUGUGGAGGGGCGCGGAGGAGGGGAGCGCCCUGCAGCAAACUCCGCAGGGCAGCCCGCGUCCUUCCCUCCCUGCCAACCGGAGCAGCGCGGAGCUCUCCCGGCAGACGGCGCAGCAAUCGGGGCCGCGGGGUUUACAACUGAAAACUGCACCAUUUCCUCCAGUUUACCCCCACCUCUGUGUUCUGGUGUUAGUAGAAAUGGAUUGCAGUUGUGGAUGCUACUGCCAUCAGAUCAAACUACCAAAGUGCAAGUGAACCCAUGCCAGCACUUACCAUCCACACUCUGAGACCUGAGUGAAAAAUUAUUAAAAAGAGAAUCAGGAAUGAAGAGCUGCACAGGAGCAAUGAGAGCCUGGUCCUGCCCAUCUUCUCAGAGUAGCAGCACACGGGAGAAAGAACCAACA